RNAcentral lists this ribosomal RNA (450 nucleotides) under uncultured bacterium. RNAcentral's name for it is "bacterial SSU rRNA". It matches the Rfam family "Bacterial small subunit ribosomal RNA", at positions 355 to 796 of the family's 1533-position model. The record is from RNAcentral.
UGGGGAAUCUUGCGCAAUGGACGAAAGUCUGACGCAGCCACGCCGCGUGAGUGAAGAAGGCCUUCGGGUCGUAAAGCUCUGUCGGAGGGGACGAAAAGUCCAUAGGUUAAUAGCCUAUGGAUCUGACGGUACCCUCAAAGGAAGCACCGGCUAACUUCGUGCCAGCAGCCGCGGUAAUACGAGGGGUGCAAGCGUUGCUCGGAAUUAUUGGGCGUAAAGGGUAGGUAGGUGGUCUCGUUUGUCUGGGGUGAAAGCCUUGAGCUUAACUCAAGAAGUGCCCCAGAAACGGCGAGACUCGAGUCUUGGAGAGGGUCGUGGAAUUCCCGGUGUAGCGGUGAAAUGCGUAGAGAUCGGGAGGAACACCAGAGGCGAAGGCGGCGACCUGGACAAGUACUGACACUCAACUACGAAAGCGUGGGUAGCAAACAGGAUUAGAUACCCCCGUAGUCC